Molecule: ribosomal RNA, 398 nt
Filed under: uncultured bacterium
Lineage: Bacteria
Description: bacterial SSU rRNA
Rfam family: Bacterial small subunit ribosomal RNA
Source: RNAcentral
GACGAACGCUGGCGGCGUGCUUAACACAUGCAAGUCCGAGCGGUAAGGCCCUUUCGGGGGUACACGAGCGGCGAACGGGUGAGUAACACGUGGGUGACCUGCCCUCAGCUCUGGGAUAAGCCUGGGAAACCGGGUCUAAUACUGGAUAUGACUCCAUGACGCAUGUUGUGGGGUGGAAAGCCUUGUGCGGCUGAGGAUGGGCCCGCGGCCUAUCAGCUUGUUGGUGGGGUGAUGGCCUACCAAGGCGACGACGGGUAGCCGGCCUGAGAGGGCGACCGGCCACACUGGGACUGAGACACGGCCCAGACUCCUACGGGAGGCAGCAGUGGGGAAUCUUGCGCAAUGGGCGAAAGCCUGACGCAGCGACGCCGCGUGAGGGAUGACGGCCUCGGUGUAAC